UAGAAUCAUGGAAUCUUAGGAGGGGAGUUAUAGGGUUAUCAGUUUCCUACAAAAUAAAGAAAUCUAACGUCGCCAAGUGAGCACGCAUCUGUCUUCCAAACAGUUCCAAUGACUAUAAUUUGUUACUAUAUUCAUUCCUGAGUGAUUUGUUUCUUCUAAGCAGUUAUUUAAACUCUGAAAUUUCCAAUACAUGUGCUAAAUUCAAGGAUUACAAGAUUUGGGGGGGAAAUCAUGAUUUAUGUCCCCACAACUUAGUGCAGGAAGCAGGCAAGACACCAACUAUAACAAUACAAUGAGAUAGAUACUCCUAUAGGCAUAGAUUUUGGGGGGAGCUCCCAAACUGUGAAAUAAUUAAUUUUUCUUGAGACUGGGAGAGGGGAAAAAGAUCAGGGAAGUUUCACAGAGGAGAUGUUAUAUGAAUUAGAUGUUAAAGAAUGAGUAGAUUUUCAGGCGGAAAAGAUAGAAUAGAAAGAAGGUAACGGUGGUACAAUAUGGUAUCUCAUGAUUAAAACCUCAUUUUAUCCUUGGUAUCCCUCUAAUUAUUUCUCUCUCCCUUUCCCUAAGACAAGAAAUAGUUUUGUUACUCAAAGUAUGGUCCAUGAACCAGGAGCUUGAAAGACUGUAGACUCUCAGAUUCCACCCCAGAUCUACUGAAGCAGCAUUUGCACUUUGACAUGAUUCCCAGGAUAUUUGCACUGAAGUCUCACAUCCUUACACUCUUGAAAUUACCCCAAAGUGGUGGCCUCCUGACUAUGAGGUUGGGGCUCACUACAAGUGUGGCUACUGGGAAAUUCUAAAUGACAUAGACUUGUGUCUCCUGUCAUCAUAUGUCUGUGGACUAGCCCUGCUCUAAGGCCCAAGUCUGGCGUGGAUCUCAACUCUGGUCUAGCUGAUGGAGACGAGCUGCCAAGUCACAUCGGGGGAAUGACUCAGAAGGGAGCAGUGGGCGGCAGCCUGCACACACGAUAACCCGGGGUAGGCUCGGCUUUUGCGGAAUCCCCUCAUUCUGUAGACGGUCCUCUAUUGCUGGUGCAGUUGAGAAAGAUAAGGUGACGCCAUCUGUUUUGAUUUACAUGCUAAUGAAAUAAGAAAAAUCAAAUGGCGUCCACAAAAUUACCAGACCAUCUCAGGAAAAUUACUCCCUGACCAGAUGUUAUUCCUUGGUUCUAAUAAUUAAUGAUGAAUCUGAAUCAAUCAGGGGAGAAUCAGCUUUGUUUUUAUUAUAUUGAUGUUCCUGUCGCUGCAAAGGUAUUAAUAUGCCAGGCCACAUAGAUUAGCACAAACUCAACAGGAUGAUUGAUCUAUGGAGAGUUUCAGGAAGAGCCUCAGGAGAAUGAGUUUCAGAUGUCCAUUGGAGCACGAGGGUCCUGUGGGGCAGUGAAGUGAGGGCAGGGGUCCUUGGUGGGUUUCCCCUGACCCUCUCCUGUCUUCCCUUGUGGGCCAUGUUUCCCAGGCUUCCCUGUCACUUGGCUUCCUGUGGGGGGCAGCUAGUGAGAAACUGAAGUGUGGGAGGAAGGGCCGAGCCAAGUGUAUCAGUUUCCCACUGCUGCUGUGAGAUGGCCACACCCUGAGUGAUUCAAACAACCCACGUCCAUUAUCUUCUGGUUCUGGAGAUCCUAAGUUUGAAAUAAAUCUUAAGGGACUAAAGCCAAGGUGUCAGCAGAGCUGCCUUCCUUCUGGAGGCUCUAGGGGAGAACUCGUCUCCUUUCUAGUGGCUGCCACAUUCCUUGACUUGUGGCCACGUCCUUCUGACCUCUGCCUCUGUUGUCACAUUGCCUUCUCUGACUCUGACCCCCGCUUCCCUCUUAUAAAGAUGGUUGAGAUGACACUGGGUCCACCUGAGUCAUCUGGAAUAAUCUUUCCCCUUAAGAUCCUUCACUUUGUCACCUCUGCAAAGUUCCUUUUGCCUGGUAAGAUGACAUAUUUACAGAUUCUGGGAAUUA
Camelus dromedarius (Arabian camel) is the source of this 1943-nucleotide long non-coding RNA. RefSeq lists it as uncharacterized. Lineage: Eukaryota; Metazoa; Chordata; Mammalia; Artiodactyla; Camelidae. The transcript is spliced from 4 exons. The record is from RefSeq and is a predicted model, not a curated record.